GCGAAGGUGGCGAAAUUGGUAGACGCGCUAGCUUCAGGUGCUAGUGCCCUGAAGGGCAUGAGGGUUCAAAUCCCUCUCUUCGCA
Molecule: transfer RNA, 84 nt
Filed under: Serratia symbiotica
Lineage: Bacteria; Pseudomonadati; Pseudomonadota; Gammaproteobacteria; Enterobacterales; Yersiniaceae
Description: transfer RNA Leucine
Rfam family: tRNA
About the family: Transfer RNA (tRNA) molecules are approximately 80 nucleotides in length. Their secondary structure includes four short double-helical elements and three loops (D, anti-codon, and T loops). Further hydrogen bonds mediate the characteristic L-shaped molecular structure. tRNAs have two regions of fundamental functional importance: the anti-codon, which is responsible for specific mRNA codon recognition, and the 3' end, to which the tRNAs corresponding amino acid is attached (by aminoacyl-tRNA synthetases). tRNAs cope with the degeneracy of the genetic code in two manners: having more than one tRNA (with a specific anti-codon) for a particular amino acid; and 'wobble' base-pairing, i.e. permitting non-standard base-pairing at the 3rd anti-codon position.
Source: RNAcentral